This 1153-nucleotide ribosomal RNA is filed under the name 'Cocos nucifera' phytoplasma. RNAcentral's name for it is "bacterial SSU rRNA". It matches the Rfam family "Bacterial small subunit ribosomal RNA", at positions 202 to 1354 of the family's 1533-position model. Lineage: Bacteria; Bacillati; Mycoplasmatota; Mollicutes; Acholeplasmatales; Acholeplasmataceae. The record is from RNAcentral.
AAAAGACCUUUUUCGGAAGGUAUGCUUAAAGAGGGGCUUGCGUCACAUUAGUUAGUUGGUAGGGUAAAGGCCUACCAAGACGAUGAUGUGUAGCUGGACUGAGAGGUUGAACAGCCACAUUGGGACUGAGACACGGCCCAAACUCCUACGGGAGGCAGCAGUAGGGAAUUUUCGGCAAUGGAGGAAACUCUGACCGAGCAACGCCGCGUGAACGACGAAGUACUUCGGUAUGUAAAGUUCUUUUAUUGAAGAAGAAACAAUAGUGGAAAAACUAUCUUGACGUUAUUCAAUGAAUAAGCCCCGGCUAACUAUGUGCCAGCAGCCGCGGUAAUACAUAGGGGGCGAGCGUUAUCCGGAAUUAUUGGGCGUAAAGGGUGCGUAGGCGGUUUAAUAAGUCUCUAGUUUAAUUUCAACGCUUAACGUUGUCCUGCUAGAGAAACUGUUUAACUAGAGUGAGAUAGAGGUAAGCGGAAUUCCAUGUGUAGCGGUAAAAUGUGUAAAUAUAUGGAGGAACACCAGAGGCGUAGGCGGCUUACUGGGUCUUUACUGACGCUGAUGCACGAAAGCGUGGGGAGCAAACAGGAUUAGAUACCCUGGUAGUCCACGCCGUAAACUAUGAGUACUAAGUGUCGGGGUUAAACUCGGUACUGAAGUUAACACAUUAAGUACUCCGCCUGAGUAGUACGUACGCAAGUAUGAAACUUAAAGGAAUUGACGGGAUCCCGCACAAGCGGUGGAUCAUGUUGUUUAAUUCGAAGAUACACGAAAAACCUUACCAGGUCUUGACAUACUCUGCAAAGCUAUAGAAAUAUAGUGGAGGUUAUCAGGGAUACAGGUGGUGCAUGGUUGUCGUCAGCUCGUGUCGUGAGAUGUUAGGUUAAGUUCUAAAACGAGCGCAACCCCUGUCGUUAAUUGCCAGCACGUUAUGGUGGGGACUUUAGCGAGACUGCCAAUGAAAAAUUGGAGGAAGGUGGGGAUUACGUCAAAUCAUCAUGCCCCUUAUGAUCUGGGCUACAAACGUGAUACAAUGGCUAUUACAAAGAGUAGCUGAAACGCGAGUUUUCGGCAAAUCUCAAAAAAAUAGUCUCAGUUCGGAUUGAAGUCUGCAACUCGACUUCAUGAAGUUGGAAUCGCUAGUAAUCGCGAAUCAGCA